Caldicellulosiruptor owensensis OL is the source of this 204-nucleotide regulatory RNA element. It matches the Rfam family "Ribosomal protein L10 leader". Rfam says of the family: This family is a putative r-protein leader autoregulatory structure found in B. subtilis and other low-GC Gram-positive bacteria. It is located in the 5' untranslated regions of mRNAs encoding ribosomal proteins L10 and L12 (rplJ-rplL). A Rho-independent transcription terminator structure that is probably involved in regulation is included at the 3' end. The record is from Rfam. Lineage: Bacteria; Bacillati; Bacillota; Caldicellulosiruptorales; Caldicellulosiruptoraceae.
AAAGUGAAUAACCUACAACCGAAGACAGUAGGUGCAAAGUACUUUUUAAAAGUACUUUGCUUAAAAGUUUGCCUACCGAGGUUGUAAUUAUUUAUAAACCCGUCGGUCAAAGAGAUUAAAAUUGUCUUUUGGCAUUGACCGAAUGGGGGAGGGAUAAUUACAGCCUCUUUAAGGUGAACUUAAAGAGGCUUUAAUAAUUUUAUG